CACCUUUGACAUGGCAGGAAGUUUCCAGAGAUGGAUUCGUGCCCGAAAGGGAACCUGCACACAGGUGCUGCAUGGCUGUCGUCAGCUCGUGUCGUGAGAUGUUGGGUUAAGUCCCGCAACGAGCGCAACCCUUGCCAUUAGUUGCUACGAAAGGGCACUCUAAUGGGACUGCCGGUGACAAACCGGAGGAAGGUGGGGAUGACGUCAAGUCCUCAUGGCCCUUAUAGGUGGGGCUACACACGUCAUACAAUGGCUGGUACAGAGGGUUGCCAACCCGCGAGGGGGAGCUAAUCCCAUAAAGCCAGUCGUAGUCCGGAUCGCAGUCUGCAACUCGACUGCGUGAAGUCGGAAUCGCUAGUAAUCGCGGAUCAGAAUGUCGCGGUGAAUACGUUCCCGGGUC
RNAcentral lists this ribosomal RNA (400 nucleotides) under uncultured bacterium. Its description in RNAcentral is "bacterial SSU rRNA". It matches the Rfam family "Bacterial small subunit ribosomal RNA", at positions 976 to 1380 of the family's 1533-position model. The record is from RNAcentral.